Molecule: transfer RNA, 69 nt
Filed under: Marmota monax (woodchuck)
Lineage: Eukaryota; Metazoa; Chordata; Mammalia; Rodentia; Sciuridae
Description: tRNA.Ala
Source: RNAcentral
GCAGUUGUAGCUCAGUGGUAGGGCACUUGCCUAGCAUGUGAGGCACUGGGUUUGAUCCUCAGUACUGCA